Molecule: long non-coding RNA, 1977 nt
Filed under: Homo sapiens (human)
Lineage: Eukaryota; Metazoa; Chordata; Mammalia; Primates; Hominidae
Description: HSALNT0376349
Source: RNAcentral
CGCAUGCGCAAUGCCAGCCAGUGCCUGCGCGGCUUGCUCCAGCAAGGUAAAAUUUCCCACUGCGAGGCAGGCAGUGAUGCUGCGGCCGCUUCGCACUGUGGCUCCUGCCGACCGCCAGGCGCUGUUACAGUGGAUGCGAACUAACCGUAAGUCAUUAUAUCGUACUGCAGAAACCAGCUCAACUAUGCAAAACUACCACCAGGACUGGCCGACACCAGGAGGGAUUCCAGAGACCACACUGCAGGGAGCAUACAGAAAGAAAAUUAAGAGAUCAGAUGCAGCAGCAGCCGGAACCCACAGUUCACCUUGGUGCAUUCCUUUAUGAUGAAGACUUAUUGAUUCAUUAUAUGAGAAAGGAAAAAUGAGCAGAAACUACUGUAUGAUGUGCAGCUCACACCAGACAGCAACUUUAGGGUUAUCUUUCCAGUUCAGCAGUGCAACUCUAUGGAGUAGAAUUGAAAGGAGACUUUUCGCCAAUUGCAGGAAAUGGUCAUAAAAAAAUACCUGCUCACUGACAGAAUAAAGGUGCUUCAUGCAGACAUCUGUACACCAGAUUUACUUCUGCAAAAUGCUGAUGCUAUGAAUAAUGCUUUUGAAUAUUAAUAAGGCAAAACAGACCAGAAAAAAAAAAUUGUAUUUGAAGCUUCUUUGCAAAGAAAUGAGUGAAUGCAACUUCCUUAAAACCUACCUGCAUUCUGACAACAUGGGACCCACAAUUUAUGGGAUAAAAUGAAGCUUGAAAAUUACUUUAGGUUGAUGUUGAGAAGUUGGAACCCUCCUACAUUGCUGCACAUGUGCCUCACUCUUCAUGGUAAAUGUUUUACUGAAGAAUAACAUACAGAAAAGUGGACAAGUCUUAACUGCACAGCUCAAUGAAUUUCCAUGAAGUAAAUAUACCCAUAUGAUAAUCCAGCUCAAGAAACAGAAAAUCACUACCACCCCAGAAGACUGCCUUAUACUACCAUCUUUUAAGAGUGAAUCACACAUGGGAUAAGAUUAGCAUAUUCGUAGUCUGGAAAAUGCUAUACAAAGAAUGUAAAGCAUGAAACUACUUGUGGACCAAAUGAAAAACUGUGGAGCAGAUUAUGAUGCAGUUAGACCUUGCUUGAAUGACUUUGACCCACAAAAGCAGAGUAAUUUAUCCCUACUUACAGAGAGAUUGCCCUACGUGUAACAGCUGCAUACAAAAAAGUUAUAAAAUUAUCAUUGGUUUAACAAGGAUAAGUGAAAAACAUUAAAAUUCUCCAACUGAACAAGGUGUGUCUGUUUCAUUGAUUGGCUGACUGUCAAAUCGGAAUCUGAUCUGCCCCAUUGACAAUGCCUUGGGCUUUUCCUCGGCCAUGGCAAAUGCCAGAGUCUUCUCAGCUGCCGCUUCACAAAAGAGGUACCAGCUUCUCACUGAACGAACACAGUGCAGCACCAGGAGUGACAGAAGAAGGAGGCGGCAGCGGUGGUUGAGGGACAGGGUGCGUGCACGUCCAAGUACAGUUCUUAAAAUGUUGAGGGCAUACAACAUAUGCUCAAUAAAUACCUGAUUUUUAAAAAAGACAAUGACUAUGGAAAACUCUUGAUCAUUAACCCGAAGGGAGAGUCUAGUUUCCAGGAAGCAUUUGUUUGUAUACACUAUUUAACCCAAGGAUACACUCUUUUCUCCGUGGCAGCGUGACUCAUCUUAGUCUCCAAUUUUUGACCUGGUAAGGCAUCUUUUUUGGUCUCUUAAUUUCUGGCUCACUUGGCCCUGAUUUGAUGUGAAUGUUCUUACUGACAUCCCAGUGACUGAUUCUCAGCACACCACAACCCCUUUUGGUUCCUACCCUAUCUUCUCUGUGUUGGCAACUGGACUCGCCUAUUCUUCAGGACUUUCAGGAGUGCACACUCUGGUAGCUCUCUAUUGACUUUACUGCUCACUCAUUCUUUUUCUUUUUUUUUGGAGACGGAGUCUCGCUCUGUUGCCCAGGCUGGAGUGCAGUGGCGCGA